GACGAACGCUGGCGGCGUGCUUAACACAUGCAAGUCGAACGGAAAGGCCCUGCUUUUGUGGGGUGCUCGAGUGGCGAACGGGUGAGUAACACGUGAGUAACCUGCCCUUGACUUUGGGAUAACUUCAGGAAACUGGGGCUAAUACCGGAUAGGAGCUCCUGCUGCAUGGUGGGGGUUGGAAAGUUUCGGCGGUUGGGGAUGGACUCGCGGCUUAUCAGCUUGUUGGUGGGGUAGUGGCUUACCAAGGCUUUGACGGGUAGCCGGCCUGAGAGGGUGACCGGCCAAAUUGGGACUGAGAAACGGCCCAGACUCCUACGGGGGGAAGCAGGGGGGAAUAUUGCACAAGGGGCGGAAGCCUGAUGCAGCAACGCCGGGGGGGGGAUGACGGCCUUCGGGUUGAAAACCGCUUUCGCCUGUGACGAGGCGGGAGGGACGGUAAUGGGUAAAGAAGCACCGGCUAACUACGU
RNAcentral lists this ribosomal RNA (467 nucleotides) under uncultured bacterium. RNAcentral describes it as "partial 16S ribosomal RNA". It matches the Rfam family "Bacterial small subunit ribosomal RNA", at positions 28 to 506 of the family's 1533-position model. The record is from RNAcentral.